AGAGUUUGAUUCUGGCUCAGAACGAACGCUGGCGGCGCGUCUUAAGCAUGCAAGUCGAACGGCAAGAGGUAGCAAUACCUCCUAGAGUGGCGGACUGGUGAGUAACACGUGGGUGACAUACCCUUCAGAUGGGGAUAGCUAUUAGAAAUAGUAGAUAAUACCGAAUACGAGCACAGGGGUUAGAGAUCUGUGAGGAAAGGAGCUAAGGCUCCGCUGAAGGAAUGGCCUGCGGCCCAUUAGCUAGUUGGUGAGGUAAGAGCCCACCAAGGCGAUGAUGGGUAUCCGGCCUUAGAGGGUGAACGGACACAUUGGGACUGAGAUACGGCCCAGACUCCUACGGGAGGCAGCAGCUAAGAAUCUUCCGCAAUGGGCGAAAGCCUGACGGAAGCGACGCCGCGUGAACGAAGAAGGCCGUGAGGUUGUAAAGUUCUUUUCGGGAGGGGGAACAACCGUGGCAGGGAAUGGCCGCGGGAUGACGUGAAUCCCGGAAUAAGCCCCGGCUAACUACGUGCCAGCCGCGGC
RNAcentral lists this ribosomal RNA (522 nucleotides) under uncultured bacterium. RNAcentral's name for it is "bacterial SSU rRNA". It matches the Rfam family "Bacterial small subunit ribosomal RNA", at positions 8 to 518 of the family's 1533-position model. The record is from RNAcentral.